AGAGUUUGAUCCUGGCUCAGGACGAACGCUGGCGGCGUGCCUAAUACAUGCAAGUCGAACGAGAGCGACCGGUGCUUGCACUGGUCAAUCUAGUGGCGAACGGGUGAGUAACACGUGGGUAACCUGCCCAUCAGAGGGGGAUAACAUUCGGAAACGGAUGCUAAAACCGCAUAGGUUCUUAAGUCGCAUGACUCGAGAAGGAAAAGAGGCUUCGGCUUCUGCUGAUGGAUGGACCCGCGGUGCAUUAGCUAGUUGGUGAGGUAACGGCUCACCAAGGCCGUGAUGCAUAGCCGACCUGAGAGGGUGAUCGGCCACAUUGGGACUGAGACACGGCCCAAACUCCUACGGGAGGCAGCAGUAGGGAAUCUUCCGCAAUGGACGCAAGUCUGACGGAGCAACGCCGCGUGAGUGAAGAAGGAUUUCGGUUCGUAAAACUCUGUUGUUAGAGAAGAACAGCGCAUAGAGUAACUGUUAUGCGUGUGACGGUAUCUAACCAGAAAGCCACGGCUAACUACGUGCCAGCAGCCGCGGUAAUACGUAGGUGGCAAGCGUUGUCCGGAUUUAUUGGGCGUAAAGCGAGCGCAGGCGGUCAAUUAAGUCUGAUGUGAAAGCCCCCGGCUCAACCGGGGAGGGUCAUUGGAAACUGGUUGACUUGAGUGCA
RNAcentral lists this ribosomal RNA (661 nucleotides) under uncultured bacterium. Its description in RNAcentral is "bacterial SSU rRNA". It matches the Rfam family "Bacterial small subunit ribosomal RNA", at positions 8 to 650 of the family's 1533-position model. The record is from RNAcentral.